GAUGAACGCUGGCGGCGUGCUUAACACAUGCAAGUCGAACGGGAAACCUUUUAUUGAAGCUUCGGCAGAUUUAGCUGGUUUCUAGUGGCGGACGGGUGAGUAACGCGUGGGUAACCUGCCUUAUACAGGGGGAUAACAGUCAGAAAUGGCUGCUAAUACCGCAUAAGCGCACAGAGCUGCAUGGCUCAGUGUGAAAAACUCCGGUGGUAUAAGAUGGACCCGCGUUGGAUUAGCUGGUUGGUGGGGUAACGGCCCACCAAGGCGACGAUCCAUAGCCGGCCAGAGGAGAUGCACUGCCACAUUGUGACUGAGACACGGCCCAGACUCCUACGGGAGGCAGCGGUGGGGAAUAUUGCACAAUGGGCGAAACCCUAAUGCAGCGACGCCGCGUGAAGGAAGAAGUAUCUCGGUAUGGAAACGUCUAUCAGCAGGGAAGAUAAUGACGGUACCUGACUAAGAAGCCCCGGCUAACUACGUG
Molecule: ribosomal RNA, 478 nt
Filed under: uncultured bacterium
Lineage: Bacteria
Description: partial 16S ribosomal RNA
Rfam family: Bacterial small subunit ribosomal RNA
Source: RNAcentral